RNAcentral lists this transfer RNA (74 nucleotides) under Marmota monax (woodchuck). Its description in RNAcentral is "tRNA.Ala". Lineage: Eukaryota; Metazoa; Chordata; Mammalia; Rodentia; Sciuridae. The record is from RNAcentral.
UUGGGUGUGCUGCUCAGUGGCACAGCACUUGUCUAGCAUUUGUGAGGCUCUGGGUUCGAUUCCCAGCACCAAAA